This 27-nucleotide small RNA is filed under the name Bombyx mori (domestic silkworm). RNAcentral's name for it is "ovarian small RNA-13766". Lineage: Eukaryota; Metazoa; Arthropoda; Insecta; Lepidoptera; Bombycidae. The record is from RNAcentral.
CCGAACUCGACGGUAGGCCUAUUCGGA